GACGAACGCUGGCGGCGUGCUUAACACAUGCAAGUCGAACGAAGAGCGAUGGAAGCUUGCUUCUCUCAAUCUUAGUGGCGAACGGGUGAGUAACGCGUAAUCAACCUGCCCUUCAGAGGGGGACAACAGUUGGAAACGACUGCUAAUACCGCAUACGAUCUAAUCUCGGCAUCGAGGAUAGAUGAAAGGUGGCCUCUACAUGUAAGCUAUCACUGAAGGAGGGGAUUGCGUCUGAUUAGCUAGUUGGAGGGGUAACGGCCCGCCAAGGCGAUGAUCAGUAGCCGGUCUGAGAGGAUGAACGGCCACAUUGGGACUGAGACACGGCCCAGACUCCUACGGGAGGCAGCAGUGGGGAAUCUUCCGCAAUGGACGAAAGUCUGACGGAGCAACGCCGCGUGAGUGAUGACGGCCUUCGGGUUGUAAAGCUCUGUUAAUCGGGACGAAAGGCCUUCUUGCGAAUAGUGAGAAGGAUUGACGGUACCGGAAUAGAAAGCCACGGCUAACUACGUG
RNAcentral lists this ribosomal RNA (510 nucleotides) under uncultured bacterium. RNAcentral describes it as "partial 16S ribosomal RNA". It matches the Rfam family "Bacterial small subunit ribosomal RNA", at positions 28 to 507 of the family's 1533-position model. The record is from RNAcentral.